UAAGGCCUGGUGGUGGAAUGGUAACACACCUGCUUGGAUUUUGGUUUCAGGGUACUUUCAGUGGGAGGUCCUUGUUCGAAUCAAGGUGCUUUAU
Molecule: non-coding RNA, 94 nt
Organism: Mycena latifolia
Lineage: Eukaryota; Fungi; Basidiomycota; Agaricomycetes; Agaricales; Mycenaceae
Source: the annotation of a GenBank genome assembly